Ostrea edulis (European flat oyster) is the source of this 280-nucleotide long non-coding RNA. RefSeq lists it as uncharacterized. Lineage: Eukaryota; Metazoa; Mollusca; Bivalvia; Ostreida; Ostreidae. The transcript has 3 exons. The record is from RefSeq and is a predicted model, not a curated record.
GAAAGAGAUGGCCUCCAUGUUGUCUUGGUACUUACAGGCUUUAAUGUAAAAUAAAAGGACCAAUAUGAGAUAAAUAGUGACUAUUUAUCUGGAGUUGUGCACAAUGAGCCAAAAUUAUCCAGAUUAGCAAGAAAUGGCAGUUUAUUAGAAGGAAUUAAUGAACUUCCUACUAGUUGGAUUUCCUUCAACUUAGAGGUUAAGGAUUUGAUUACUAUUCAGUCCCAGGAGAUGCCAAUCAGCAGUGAGUCCAUCAUCAUCAUUCCAGAUGGAACGAAUGAGG